This 438-nucleotide ribosomal RNA is filed under the name uncultured bacterium. RNAcentral's name for it is "partial 16S ribosomal RNA". It matches the Rfam family "Bacterial small subunit ribosomal RNA", at positions 339 to 795 of the family's 1533-position model. The record is from RNAcentral.
CUACGGGUUGCUCCAGUGAGGAAUAUUGCACAAUGGGGGGAACCCUGAUGCAGCAACGCCGCGUGGAGGAUGACGCAUUUCGGUGUGUAAACUCCUUUUAUAUGUCAAGAAAAUGACGGUAGCAUAUGAAUAAGCACCGGCUAACUCCGUGCCAGCAGCCGCGGUAAUACGGAGGGUGCAAGCGUUACUCGGAAUCACUGGGCGUAAAGGACGCGUAGGCGGGUUGGAAAGUCAGGUGUGAAAUCCUACAGCUUAACUGUAGAACUGCACUUGAAACUUCUAAUCUAGAGUAUGGGAGGGGAGAUGGAAUUAGUGGUGUAGGGGUAAAAUCCGUAGAUAUCACUAGGAAUACCUAAAGCGAAGGCGAUCUCCUGGAACAUUACUAACGCUAAGGCGUGAAAGCGUGGGGAGCAAACAGGAUUAGAUACCCCAGUAGUC